CCUACGGGGUGCAGCAGUGGGGAAUAUUGCACAAUGGGGGAAACCCUGAUGCAGCGACGCCGCGUGAGCGAUGAAGUAUUUCGGUAUGUAAAGCUCUAUCAGCAGGGAAGAAAAUGACGGUACCUGACUAAGAAGCCCCGGCUAACUACGUGCCAGCAGCCGCGGUAAUACGUAGGGGGCAAGCGUUAUCUGGAUUUACUGGGUGUAAAGGGAGCGUAGACGGCGAUGCAAGCCAGAUGUGAAAGCCCGGGGCUCAACCCCGGGACUGCAUUUGGAACUGUAUAGCUGGAGUGUCGGAGAGGCAAGCGGAAUUCCUAGUGUAGCGGGGAAAUGCGUAGAUAUUAGGAGGAACAGCAGUGGCGAAGGCGGCCUGCUGGACGAUAACUGACGUUGAGGCUCGAAAGCGUGGGGAGCAAACAGGAUUAGAUACCCCUGUAGUC
This 440-nucleotide ribosomal RNA is filed under the name uncultured bacterium. RNAcentral's name for it is "partial 16S ribosomal RNA". It matches the Rfam family "Bacterial small subunit ribosomal RNA", at positions 338 to 795 of the family's 1533-position model. The record is from RNAcentral.